AGUCAAGAGGGACGGGGAGAGAUCAAGAGAGGACAGAUUUGCGUGUCAUCUGCAUGUAAAUGAUAUAGGAAGCCAAAGGAGCUAAUGAGUUUACCAAGGGAGGCAGUAAAUAAGGAGAACAGUAAGGGACCAAAGACUAAACCUCAGGGGACACCAAUAGAGAGGAGUUGGGGAGAAGAAGCAGAGCUAGAGAAAAACACUGAAAGAGCGCUGGGAGAGGUAGGAGGAGCAUCAGGAGAGAGCAAUAUCUUGUAGACCGAUAUUGCGAAGGAUGAGAAGAAGCUGUUGAUGAUAAAGUGUCAAAAGCUGCUGAAAGGUCAAGGAGAAUUAGGAUAGAGUAGAGACCACGAGAUUUUGCAGCGAGUAGAUCAUUGGAUACAUUGGUCAGUGACGUUUCCACAGAGUGCUUAGCACGGAAACCAGACUGAAGCGGACUAGCAGAGAAUUGGACUUGAGGAAGUCUGUCAAUCUCGCAUACACAACUCUUUCAAGGAUCUUAGAUGCAAAAGGCAGUAGCGAGAUAGGACAGUAGUUGGAUGGGGAGUUAGAAACAUAGAAUGUGAUGGCAGAUAAGAACCAUUCGGCCCAUCUAGUCUGCCCAAUUUUCUAAAUACUUUCAUUAGUCCCUAGUCUUAUCUUAUAGUUAGGAUAGCCUUAUGCCUAUCCCACGCAUGCUUAAACUCCUUUACUGUGUUAACCUCUACCACUU
Pelobates cultripes (western spadefoot toad) is the source of this 709-nucleotide non-coding RNA. NCBI's taxonomy places the organism in Eukaryota, Metazoa, Chordata, Amphibia, Anura, Pelobatidae. The record is from the annotation of a GenBank genome assembly.